UACGAAGGGGGGCUAGCGUUGCUCGGAAUUACUGGGCGUAAAGGGCGCGUAGGCGGAUAUUUAAGUCGGGGGUGAAAGCCCGGGGCUCAACCUCGGAAUUGCCUUCGAUACUGGAUAUCUUGAGUUCGGGAGAGGUGAGUGGAAUGCCGAGUGUAGAGGUGAAAUUCGUAGAUAUUCGGCGGAACACCAGUGGCGAAGGCGACUCACUGGCCCGAUACUGACGCUGAGGCGCGAAAGCGUGGGGAGCAAACAGG
This 254-nucleotide ribosomal RNA is filed under the name uncultured bacterium. Its description in RNAcentral is "partial 16S ribosomal RNA". It matches the Rfam family "Bacterial small subunit ribosomal RNA", at positions 524 to 776 of the family's 1533-position model. The record is from RNAcentral.